AUGCAGUGCCAAGGCCACUGUUGUGCUGCCUUUGGGGCUUGCCCACACUGCAGCACCUGCUUCCUGGGCAAGCAGAGGGACCUUGGCAGAGUCCCUCUGCUUCUGCCUCUGCUGCCUGGAGACCCCUGGGUGCUCCAUUACAAAGCAUAUUCCUGUUGCCAUAUCUCCAUCACCACGGUGAUGAUGAUGCUGAGCCAGGAACAAUGUGUGCCUCAGCUCACUGCACUCUGCAUCAGUGGGCCAGGAGAAGUGGAGCAGGACAAGAUCCUGAAAGGAACUCUGUUGAGAAUCCAGUUUUGGUAAUUUUGUGAUCCUACGCUAAGUGGACGUAAUACCAGACAAGCCUGCUCCUUCCAUCUCUGGACAAAAACGAAGACUUAGUAGUUACAGCACAAUGAUUCUGCACAUAAGCAACAACAACAAUGAAAGUUAUUCUCAUUAAAGUAAUAUUUAAGGCAUGAGAAAAUGAUAAAAUCCUCAACACUGGGGCAGAACACCAAAGGCUCACAGAAAUUACUUUUCGCCACCCUUCAGUUCCUAAAGGCCUUUGGACUCCUACCAUUUUGCUUAUAAAUCUUCACCUCCACUUAUCAAACAGGACGGAUCUAGCCUAUGGAGUAAGCAAUUGCUCAGAACUCGUUCUGCCUCUAAAGCUGUAACACCUAAAAAGCUGUCAUCAACGCUUGUCACCAAAUAUUCACUACACUCAGAGCUAGAAAUACAUUCAGCUUUAACAAGGGCCAGCAGCAGUUUGGGAACAUUUCUCUUGGCACAAAAGCACUUUUCCCCAGCAGCUGCAUAACCCGUGGUGUCAAAUAGUUUUUCCAGGCCCCAUGUUAAAGCCUGAAAAAUACAAUUCUGUUUUCCAUUAGUUUUGGUGCAUUGCUCCACUGUGCAGUGUUUCAGCCCUGCCUGCAGGAAGGUUGUGAGCAAGAGAUUUCAGUAAAAUUAAGACUUAAAGCCCGAGGGGUGAAGCAUAUAGCUAAAGGAUGUGACAAGGGAAUUAUAUACUCAAUAAAGAGAAAACCAAAACAAAAUUAAUUUCA
Molecule: long non-coding RNA, 1046 nt
Filed under: Anser brachyrhynchus (Pink-footed goose)
Lineage: Eukaryota; Metazoa; Chordata; Aves; Anseriformes; Anatidae
Description: lncRNA (ENSABRG00000005675.1)
Source: RNAcentral